RNAcentral lists this long non-coding RNA (2167 nucleotides) under Physcomitrium patens. RNAcentral describes it as "long non-coding RNA (PPAT_LNC000376)". The record is from RNAcentral. Lineage: Eukaryota; Viridiplantae; Streptophyta; Bryopsida; Funariales; Funariaceae.
UGCAGAGGAAUUUGUGACUUUAAGAUCCAUGAAGGCGCAGAUGCUAGUAUCGAUCCAAUGGUUGAUGGUCGUCCACGCAGGUGCCCAUGAUGGCUCCCAUUUCGAUCGUCGUGACACUGUUACGGGGCAAAGUUAGUACUGUUCAUAUGUUUAUUAGAAAACAACUCAAAAACUUCUGUGUUAUUAUGGUGUCGUUCAACGUGGACAUGACCAUUAUACUUGCAACAGAAAAAAUAUGGCAACGAGAACCAAGGUUGAUGAGUUUUAGAGGUUAAUGUGGUAACUUUAAGCUCGAAUCUGGAGAUUGUUAACUGUUUAUAUUUAUGAGACAACGCAGAGCCUAAGCCUCGGAAAAAAUCUCGGAGUGGAACCUUGGUAUCCAGGGGCUAAGCAGAUCAUCGCUGCGGCGAACUGUCUGGUUGGUCUCCUUGAAUUCAUUGGAGAUGAUCUGAUUGAAACAGACGGCCUGCACCCUCUUCAAGGGAUAAUUACUUUUUACGGUACAGAAACUCCAAGUUGACAUGGUGGAGUUGGAAUUUGUUGGAAUAAAGACGCCAUGGUGGUGAUUCCACGGAAACGGAGACCUCGCCAGAUCAUCCAACACUAGAUGCCGCAUCUGAUCCUUCGGGAGCCGGAAGUGUAGCUGCGGCCGAGGGGGCAGGAGCGGAAUUUAGCCAAGAGCAUUCGGAAACGAUUCAUCGCGACCGAAAGAAACGAAUUAGGUUAAUUUCAACACUUCCACAAGGGGAUGGCAAUUACGAUCUGCCUGGCUGAAUCACUAAACAACCUAAAUUGCGAAGGCAGCUGCACCCCAUGAGAUCCGAGUGCUGUGGAUCGAGCCAUGGCACAAUCUGCAGAAACGAUUCGUUCCCCUUAUUCACACUGUUCACCACGGUUGUUUUACCAGACCACACUCAGUCAAGCCGAAGCGCCGCAUACCAGCGACCAACACUAUUGAUAGUGAGAAUCAAUCUUUACAUGGAGAGCCCGAAAAUGUUCUAACGCGAACGUGGACCCGUUCCUACCUCCCCAUUUCUCACCAUCGGCUCGAGCCCCCAUGAUCCCGCACGCGCUCCUCCCCGCUCGACUGUGCGUGGUAAGGAAAAGGCGCUACCAAUUCUAGCAGAUUCGAUCGUCUCCCUCCCCACCCACUUCGCAAAACCCUGGGACGUUUGGCCUUACAAUCGUAUUGGAAAUCCAGAAGCGAACAUGGCAACCACUGUAGAACUCCUGAUGAAGUCGAAUCCUUAGAUCGUGGAGCGGUGAGGGAAUCAGCAGCAGACGGAUUAGUUCUUCAACUUUCAGUCACAGCUGCCGGAAUGAACAGCGAAACAAUUCCUUUCAAUUCCCAGGGAUGUGGACGGGCCAGCAGCAGCAUGUCGGAGCUCGGUGUGUUGUUGAUAGGCUUGAGCCGGCAAGUGACGAUCAUCACCUCACCCGCUUGCGCUCCUCCUCUUCCACAAUUCCGAUUCUUCUCUUUGCUCCUCUGUCGCCACGGAUCUCAAUCCCCACCUUCGAUCCCUCGUUCGAUCGCACCUUCUCGUCCUGGUGCUGCUGCAAAUCGGUCGACCUCGGCUAGUCGUCGUCAAUCAGGCGCGGUCCUUUUUGCACUGUGGAGCCCCCCCAUUGCGGUGUGAACGGGGCACGUCUCGCAUGAGUCCGAAACCCUGUACUUCUUCAUUCAUUCCGAAGUUGCCCGUAACCGAUGAACCAUUAUCCAACGUCCGAUUUUGAGGAAUCUUGCCCGUCCAUUGGAGCGAAUCUGAGCCUUCCGUUUAUUAGGGGAUCUGCACCGUCCCUUCAGAGACGAUCUUCGCCGCUGUUGAAAAGCCAGUGUGAGGCUGGGAUCGUUUCUAGUCGUUCAACUGGAUCCAUUUCCUGCCAUUUAUUUAUUUAUUUAUUUAUUUAUUUUUGUGAAUUCCUGUUUCCAAAUUUAAUCACUUUCGUGGAAUUUAAGGUUUUUCAAGGAAGUGAUUAAAUUACACUUAAAAUAAACGUUUUUCUGUUAUUAACCCUACACUUCUGUACACUACAUAAAUAAAGUAUUUUAUCAACAUCAGAAUAUUUUAUUUAUUUACUAAUUUUUUGAUGGAUUUUUGAAUUCCGGUUGGACGCCCUGUUUAUAAUCUUUGAAUUCGUGGUUGUACCUUUCUAAACAAAUACACCU